RNAcentral lists this ribosomal RNA (613 nucleotides) under Escherichia coli. Its description in RNAcentral is "partial 23S ribosomal RNA". It matches the Rfam family "Bacterial large subunit ribosomal RNA", at positions 580 to 1194 of the family's 2925-position model. Lineage: Bacteria; Pseudomonadati; Pseudomonadota; Gammaproteobacteria; Enterobacterales; Enterobacteriaceae. The record is from RNAcentral.
CCUCUUUUAUGGGGUGACUGCGUACCUUUUGUAUAAUGGGUCAGCGACUUAUAUUCUGUAGCAAGGUUAACCGAAUAGGGGAGCCGAAGGGAAACCGAGUCUUAACUGGGCGUUAAGUUGCAGGGUAUAGACCCGAAACCCGGUGAUCUAGCCAUGGGCAGGUUGAAGGUUGGGUAACACUAACUGGAGGACCGAACCGACUAAUGUUGAAAAAUUAGCGGAUGACUUGUGGCUGGGGGUGAAAGGCCAAUCAAACCGGGAGAUAGCUGGUUCUCCCCGAAAGCUAUUUAGGUAGCGCCUCGUGAAUUCAUCUCCGGGGGUAGAGCACUGUUUCGGCAAGGGGGUCAUCCCGACUUACCAACCCGAUGCAAACUGCGAAUACCGGAGAAUGUUAUCACGGGAGACACACGGCGGGUGCUAACGUCCGUCGUGAAGAGGGAAACAACCCAGACCGCCAGCUAAGGUCCCAAAGUCAUGGUUAAGUGGGAAACGAUGUGGGAAGGCCCAGACAGCCAGGAUGUUGGCUUAGAAGCAGCCAUCAUUUAAAGAAAGCGUAAUAGCUCACUGGUCGAGUCGGCCUGCGCGGAAGAUGUAACGGGGCUAAACCAUGCAC